RNAcentral lists this long non-coding RNA (794 nucleotides) under Mus musculus (house mouse). RNAcentral describes it as "predicted gene, 47251". The record is from RNAcentral. Lineage: Eukaryota; Metazoa; Chordata; Mammalia; Rodentia; Muridae.
GCAUUAUGCUGGUGUUUGAAUUGGGUUGGAACUCAGUGGACCCCUUAACAUAAUGGCUUUACCACACUGCUAAUAUUCAUAGAAUUUUCCUCCAGUAUGAAUAGUUUCAUAAUGAUGAAGAUUUUAGAGGUGUACAAAGACUUCAUUAUACUAAACCCAUUCAUAAGGAUUCUCUCUAGGACAUUUUCUUUCAUGAAAAUGAAGACUACAGAAUUGUACAAAGGCUUGGUCAGAUUAAAUACACUCAGGGUUUCUGUCUUAGUUUCAAUUGCUAUGAAGAGCCACCAUGAACACAGCAACUCCUAUAAAAGCAACCAUUUAAAUUGGGACUGGCUUACAGUUUCAGAGGUUUAUCCAUUUUCAUCAGAGCAGGAAGAAUGGAAGGGCAGAUAGAAGAAGCUGGAGAAGAAGCUGAGGGUUCUGCAUCUUGAUCCAAAGGCAGCCAGGAAGAGCCUAUCUUCCAGGGAGGUUUUAAGAGGGUCUCUUCAGCUCUGGGAUGAAUUUCAAGGCCCACCCUCAAAGUGAUGCACUUCCUCCAACAAGGUCACACUUGAUAAUAGUGCCACUCCCUUAGCCAAGCAUAUUUAAACAAACACAUUCCACAGCCUGGCCCCCAUGUGAUUGUUGAAAUACAUGAAAUAGUGUAUGGGAACCAUACUUAAACAUAGAAACAUCUUCUUUGACACUCAGAAACACUUUCCAGAAGAUUUCACCUCAGUGAUGCUGGUUUCUUCUUCAUAACCUCUAAUUUCUUAGCUACAGCUAGUCAAUACCAAUGAUCUCAGUAGUCCCUU